GACGAACGCUGGCGGCGUGCUUAACGCAUGCAAGUCGAACGAAGAGCGAUGGAAGCUUGCUUCUAUCAAUCUUAGUGGCGAACGGGUGAGUAACGCGUAAUCAACCUGCCCUUCAGAGGGGGACAACAGUUGGAAACGACCGCUAAUACCGCAUACGAUCUAAUCUCGGCAUCGAGGAUAGAUGAAAGGUGGCCUCUACAUGUAAGCUAUCACUGAAGGAGGGGAUUGCGUCUGAUUAGCUAGUUGGAGGGGUAACGGCCCACCAAGGCGAUGAUCAGUAGCCGGUCUGAGAGGAUGAACGGCCACAUUGGGACUGAGACACGGCCCAGACUCCUACGGGAGGCAGCAGUGGGGAAUCUUCCGCAAUGGACGAAAGUCUGACGGAGCAACGCCGCGUGAGUGAUGACGGCCUUCGGGUUGUAAAGCUCUGUUAAUCGGGACGAAAGGCCUUCUUGCGAAUAGUGAGAAGGAUUGACGGUACCGGAAUAGAAAGCCACGGCUAACUACGUG
This 510-nucleotide ribosomal RNA is filed under the name uncultured bacterium. RNAcentral describes it as "partial 16S ribosomal RNA". It matches the Rfam family "Bacterial small subunit ribosomal RNA", at positions 28 to 507 of the family's 1533-position model. The record is from RNAcentral.